AUUGAACGCUGGCGGCAGGCCUAACACAUGCAAGUCGAACGGUAACAGGAAGAAGCUUGCUUCUUUGCUGCCGAGGGGCGGACGGGUGAGUAAUGUCUGGGAAACGGCCUGAUGGAGGGGGAUACCUACUGGAAACGGUAGCUAUUACCGCAUACCUCCGCAAGCCCAAAGGGGGGGACCUUCGGGCCCCUUCCCAUCGGAUGUGCCCAGAUGGGAUUAGCUAGUAGGUGGGGUAACGGCUCACCUAGGCGACGAUCCCUAGCUGGUCUGAGAGGAUGACCAGCCACACUGGAACUGAGACACGGUCCAGACUCCUACGGGAGGCAGCAGUGGGGAAUAUUGCACAAUGGGCGCAAGCCUGAUGCAGCCAUGCCGCGUGUAUGAAGAAGGCCUUCGGGUUGUAAAGUACUUUCAGCGGGGAGGAAGGGAGUAAAGUUAAUACCUUUACUCAUUGACGUUACCCGCAGAAGAAGCACCGGCUAACUCCGUG
This 490-nucleotide ribosomal RNA is filed under the name uncultured bacterium. RNAcentral's name for it is "partial 16S ribosomal RNA". It matches the Rfam family "Bacterial small subunit ribosomal RNA", at positions 30 to 507 of the family's 1533-position model. The record is from RNAcentral.